Schistosoma curassoni is the source of this 46-nucleotide non-coding RNA. The record is from Rfam. Lineage: Eukaryota; Metazoa; Platyhelminthes; Trematoda; Strigeidida; Schistosomatidae.
AUCCAGCUGACGAGUCCCAAAAUAGGGCGAAAUACGCGUCCUGAAU